Molecule: ribosomal RNA, 254 nt
Filed under: uncultured bacterium
Lineage: Bacteria
Description: partial 16S ribosomal RNA
Rfam family: Bacterial small subunit ribosomal RNA
Source: RNAcentral
UACGUAGGUGGCAAGCGUUGUCCGGAUUUACUGGGCGUAAAGAGCGCUCAGGCGGUCGUUCAAGUCGCGUGUGAAAGCCCCCGGCUCAACUGGGGAGGGUCACGCGAUACUGAUCGACUCGAAGGCAGGAGAGGGUAGUGGAAUUCCCGGUGUAGUGGUGAAAUGCGUAGAUAUCGGGAGGAACACCAGUGGCGAAGGCGACUACCUGGCCUGUUUCUUGACGCUGAGGCGCGAAAGCUAGGGGAGCAAACGGG